ACUCUGGUAGAUUGCAUAUAACCUGCUUUCUUUCUGUUCCCGGGCGGCAUCAGACCCGUCGGAGAGUAAAUCCCAAGUAAGGUACCUGCCGUCGGCAGAUUGGAGCUUUCUUCUUGGACACCUAAUACCCACAGUCCUCCAG
This 142-nucleotide non-coding RNA is filed under the name Pan troglodytes (chimpanzee). The record is from RNAcentral. Lineage: Eukaryota; Metazoa; Chordata; Mammalia; Primates; Hominidae.